RNAcentral lists this ribosomal RNA (1412 nucleotides) under Plasmodium vinckei brucechwatti. RNAcentral describes it as "bacterial SSU rRNA". It matches the Rfam family "Bacterial small subunit ribosomal RNA". Lineage: Eukaryota; Apicomplexa; Aconoidasida; Haemosporida; Plasmodiidae. The record is from RNAcentral.
CGAGUUUGAUCCUAGCUCAGAAUGAACGCUAGAAAUAUACAUUACACAUGCAAAUUUAUGAUUAUAUCAUAGUGAAUAGGUGAGGAUAUAUAAAUUUUUAAUUUUAAAUAGAUUAUAAUAUAUAAUAAUCUAUAAGCGCAUUUAUUUAUAAAUUGUACUAUAUUAAAAAUAAUUAUUGUUUAAAAUAAAAUUUAUAUUUGAUUAACUAGUUGGUAAAAUAAAGGCUUACCAAGGUUAUGAUCAAAAAUUGGUUUUAAAGAACGUACAAUCACAUUAGGAUUGAAAUAAAGCCUAAAUUUUUUUUUAAAUCAGCAGUGAGGAAUAUUUUACAAUAAGCGUAAGCUUGAUAAAGUAAUAUUUCUUAAAGGAUGACAGUAUAUUUUUAUAUUGUAAACUUUAUAUUUUAUUUUUAAAUAUUGAUAAAAAUAAAACAUUAGUAUUUGCUAAUUUCUGUGCCAGCAGCAGCGGUAAUACAGAAAAUACAAGCGUUAUUCACUUUAUUUGGCGUAAAGCGUUUUAAGGUUUUAUAUUAAUUUUAUUUUAAAAUAUUUAAUUUAAAUUUAAAUAAAAAAUAAAUAAUAAUAUAAUAAGAGUAUUAUAAAAGUAUUAAGAAUUUUUUGAGAAGUAGUGAAAUGCAAUUAUACAAAAAAGAAUACCAAAGGCGAAAGCAUAAUACUAUAUAAUAACUGACACUUAUAAACGAAAGCUAAGGUAGCAAAUAGGAUUAGAUACCCUAGUAGUCUUAGCUGUAAACUAUGAAUAUUUUAUAUUUAUAUAUUAAUAUAAAUAUAAUAACUAACGUAAUAAAUAUUCCGCCUGAGUAGUAUAUUCGCAAGAACGAAAUUCAAAGGAAUUGACGGGAGCUUAUACAAGUGGUGGAACAUGUGGCUUAAUUCGAUGCAACACGAUAAACCUUACCAAAAUUUAACAAUAUUUUUAAUAUUAAGUAAUUAAUAGUUUAAUAAAAUAUAUAGGUAGUGCAUGGCUGUCGUCAGUUCGUGCUGUGAAGUAUUAAUUUAAGUAUUAUAACGAACGCAACCUUUUGUAAAAUAAAUUUUUAUAAUAUAUUUAUUAAAUAUAUAAAAAAGAUUACGUCAAGUCAUUAUGCUCCUUAUAUUUUGGGCUGCUCACGUGUUACAUAAAAUAUAACAAUGUUCUAUUAUAUGAAAAUAUAAUAUAUUUAAAUAUAUUUAUAGUUCUAAUUAUAAAUUGAAACUCAUUUAUAUGAGGAUGGAAUCACUAGUAAUCGCUAAUAAGAAAUGUAGCGGUGAAUAAGUUCUUAAGCUUUGUACACACCGCCCGUCACAUCUGGAAAAUAUUAUAUUAUAUAAAAAUUAUUGUAAAAUAAUAAUAUAUAAUUAUAUAAUUUAGAUGAAGUCGUAACAAGGUAGCCGUACUGGAAGGUGCGGCUG